This 66-nucleotide transfer RNA is filed under the name Brevundimonas mediterranea. RNAcentral's name for it is "tRNA-Gly". Lineage: Bacteria; Pseudomonadati; Pseudomonadota; Alphaproteobacteria; Caulobacterales; Caulobacteraceae. The record is from RNAcentral.
CGGAAAUGCUGAUCCCCAACAUUGCCAAGGUUGGGGUCGAGAGUUCGAAUCUCUUCGCCCGCUCCA